This 301-nucleotide ribosomal RNA is filed under the name uncultured bacterium. RNAcentral's name for it is "partial 16S ribosomal RNA". It matches the Rfam family "Bacterial small subunit ribosomal RNA", at positions 509 to 807 of the family's 1533-position model. The record is from RNAcentral.
CAGUAGCCGCGGUAAUACGGAGGGGGCUAGCGUUGUUCGGAAUUACUGGGCGUAAAGCGCACGUAGGCGGCUUGGUAAGUUAGAGGUGAAAGCCCGGAGCUCAACUCCGGAAUUGCCUUUAAGACUGCCGAGCUAGCAGGUGAGAGAGGUAAGUGGAAUUCCGAGUGUAGAGGUGAAAUUCGUAGAUAUUCGGAAGAACACCAGUGGCGAAGGCGGCUUACUGGCUCAUACUGGACGCUGAGGUGCGAAAGCGUGGGGAGCAAACAGGAUUAGAUACCCCGGUAGUCCCUGUCUCUUAUAC